Molecule: ribosomal RNA, 253 nt
Filed under: uncultured bacterium
Lineage: Bacteria
Description: partial 16S ribosomal RNA
Rfam family: Bacterial small subunit ribosomal RNA
Source: RNAcentral
UACGUAGGGGGCAAGCGUUGUCCGGAUUUAUUGGGCGUAAAGAGCGUGUAGGCGGCCUUACAGGUCAGCUGUGAAAACUCGAGGCUCAACCUCGAGACGUCGGUUGAAACCGUAAGGCUAGAGUCCGGAAGAGGAGAGUGGAAUUCAUGGUGUAGCAGUGAAAUGCGUAGAGAUCAUGAGGAAGACCAGUGGCGAAGGCGGGUCUCUGGACAGUUCCUGACACUGAGGCACGAAGGCCAGGGGAGCAAACGGG